GCGGUAUCCUGACCGUGCUAAGGUAGCAUAAUCACUUGCCGUUUAAUUGAUGGCUGGAAUGAAUGAAUAUACGAGAGCUCAACUGUCUCAUUUUUACCAAUAUAAAUUGACCCUCAAGUGAAGAGACUUGAAUUUUAAAAAAAGACGAAAAGACCCUAUAGAGCUUUACCUGAACUCUAUAUAUUUUAGAACUAAGGUUUAGUUGGGGCAACUAGAGAGUAUCUAAAACCUCUCUUCUAGUAAAUUGAUAGGAUCCGCUUUUGCGAUAAGAAGAAAAAGCUACCUUAGGGAUAACAGGCUAAUCCUCUUUAAGAGACCAUAUUGACAAGAGGGAUUGGCACCUCGAUGUUGGCUUAGGA
This 359-nucleotide ribosomal RNA is filed under the name Polydora lingshuiensis. RNAcentral's name for it is "partial 16S ribosomal RNA". It matches the Rfam family "Bacterial large subunit ribosomal RNA", at positions 1933 to 2542 of the family's 2925-position model. Lineage: Eukaryota; Metazoa; Annelida; Polychaeta; Spionida; Spionidae. The record is from RNAcentral.